AUGGCCGUGCCAUGCGUUCGCCUCGCCCUCCUCCUCUGUUUGCUGAUCCCAGCCACCGCCGCCUCACCUCGGAGCCGGAGCCCACGCAAAUCCCCAGCCAGAGCGUCCGCGUCGCGGCCGACCGCCUUCUUCGAGGUGGACCGCCCGCCACGCCCACGCGGCGGCUCCGGCCGGUGCUCCACGCUCCUGCUGUCCGCCUCCUUCGCCUCCACCUUCGACAAGCCCCCCGCCACCGCCGCCUACUCCCCGCCGCGCUGCCUCGUCAAGGCGGGCGGCCGCGCCUCGGCCAUCUCCCUCGCGGUGCUCGAGUGGCGCGCCGCCUGCCAGGGAGCCCAGCUCGACAGGAUCUUCGGCGUCUGGCUCGCCGGCGCCGAGCUCCUCCGCGGCAGCACCGCCGCGCCGCCGCCCAACGGCAUCGUCUGGUCCGUCUCCAAGGACGUCACCAAGUACGCGUCCCUCCUCGCCGCCGCCGGCAACUCCACCUUCGCCGUCUACCUCGGCAACCUCGUCAACACCACGCUCACCGGCGUGUACCAUGCCAACGUCACGCUCCACCUCUACCUCCGCCGCACGCCGACGACCAAGCCGCCGCCCGCCACGGCCCCCGCCGACCUCAUCGUCCCGAUGGCGCGAGCCCUCCCUCCCAACGGCGGGCUGUGGUUCCCGAUCCAGAGCGCCGCCGACGUCGCGUCCAAGAGCGUCGCGAUGCCAUCCAACACCUACCGCGCGGUCCUCGAACUCUACGUCUCGUUCCAUGAAGACGACGAGUUAUGGUACAAGAACGAAACCCGGGUACCAGAACGGCCCGUUCCGCGAGGUCACCGCUCGCGUCGACGGUGUCCUCGCCGGCUCCGUCUGCCCGUUCCCCGUCAUCUACCCCGGCGGCAUCUACCCCCUCCUAUGGAGGCCGAUCGCCCCCAUCGGCUCCUUCAACCUCCCGACGUACGACAUCGACCUGACUCCUUUUCUCGGCAAGCUGCUGGACGGCAAGGCGCACGAGUUCGCGUUCGCCGUGACCAACGCCGUGGGCGUGUGGUACGUCAACGCCAACCUCCACCUCUGGCUGGACCCCGAGGGCACCGCGACGACGGCGGGCCUCGUGAGCUACGUCGCGCCGCCGGCGAACACGACGUCGUCCAAGUCUGCCGACCCCGUCGACACCCACUACCACGCGACGGCGAACCGGCUCGUCUCCUCCACCGGGUGGGUGAAGUCAUCGUACGGGAACAUAACGACCAACGCCACGCGCACGUUCGCCCUCGAGUACCUCCUCACCUUCGAGACACUGGACCUGACCAUCGUUGCGGACACCGGCGUCGUCGCCACGGACGGCGCCGGCGGCGUCCUGUUCUCGACGCAGACGCACGGGAACUUCCCGCUUGGCUGGGUCUAUCAACAGAAUAG
Molecule: ribosomal RNA, 1404 nt
Filed under: Triticum aestivum (bread wheat)
Lineage: Eukaryota; Viridiplantae; Streptophyta; Magnoliopsida; Poales; Poaceae
Description: partial small subunit ribosomal RNA
Source: RNAcentral